RNAcentral lists this RNase P RNA (335 nucleotides) under Noviherbaspirillum humi. Its description in RNAcentral is "Bacterial RNase P class A". It matches the Rfam family "Bacterial RNase P class A". Rfam says of the family: Ribonuclease P (RNase P) is a ubiquitous endoribonuclease, found in archaea, bacteria and eukarya as well as chloroplasts and mitochondria. Lineage: Bacteria; Pseudomonadati; Pseudomonadota; Betaproteobacteria; Burkholderiales; Oxalobacteraceae. The record is from Rfam by way of RNAcentral.
GAAGCAAGCCAGACAGCCGCUGGCCAUCGUUGAUGGCGGGAGGAAGGUCCGGACUCCACAGAGCAGGGUGACGGCUAACGGCCGUCCGCCGAAAGUCCGCAAGGAUACAAGGCGAGGAACAGGGCCACAGAGACGAGCGUAUUCAGUUACGGUGAAACGCGGUAACCUCCACCUGGAGCAAUCUCAAAUAGGCACGCGAUGAUGUUGCUCGCGGAGCGUGCGGGUAGAGAGCUUGAGCCGUGGAGCAAUUCACGGCCUAGAGGAAUGGCUGUCAUAGCGGCCGGGCGCAAGCCCGUCCGCCGUAACAGAAUCCGGCCUAUCGGCUUGCUUCACCU